Long non-coding RNA from Equus caballus (horse), 2656 nucleotides. Lineage: Eukaryota; Metazoa; Chordata; Mammalia; Perissodactyla; Equidae. The record is from Ensembl.
GGGGGGUCGUCCACUCACCUGCCCUGGAGUGGGGCUGCCACAGUCCCCCUUCCCCGGAUUUGACACUGCGUUCCUGAGUCCUCAGGGGUGGGGUUUAGAAAUGAGAGAGGCCACUUGCGCUUCACAAUGUGAACUCGGCACAGGUCAGGAGGUCUCCACAGGUGUGUGGACCCAAGGGUUUCUGAACGGGGACAGUGGACUUCUCAACAGAGCACACUCAGUUAUCCAUCAAGCGUGCUGAGGCACUAGCCAAGCUCCUUUCUGACUUGGGGGUGGUUCCAGUGAGAGCCCCAAGGCCACUGCUGGCUGCUCUGGCCCGGGGCCCGAGGCACCCUCAGGACCAUCUGACGGAGGCUCACCAAGCUCUCCAUGAUGCAGGGAGACCCCCAACCCCCUCCUACCCGCUCCGCUCCACCACCCAUCUCACCCUGAUAACUGCCCAAGAAAGCAAUUCCACAAAGGAUGCCACCAAGUCAGUCGCCCACCUUCACCAAACAACCUCAGACCAGUCGGACCAGGUUCCACUUCCUGAAUUCACCACUCCUGGUGAAGCCAAUCCUCAUACUCAGAGGCUCAACGUAAGAGCCCAUCUCCCGCCUUCCCUCCACGUGCCCCCGCGCUUCCACGGCGCAUGUGGAAUGAUGGCCCAUCACAGCAGGCCAUCACAUUCUCCUCCACAUGCUGCGCCUUCCACCUCUGGAGGGCUAUUUGUCCUCCCAUUUCCCACACCAAAGGCUUGCAGUGGGUAGAUGGCAUCCUUGCUCCACAUCUCUACUUCCAGACCAUUUUUCCCCCCUUUUCCUUUCAUUCACAGUGCAUAAAUGAGACCCAUUGCCCACCAGCUGGAUAAUGGUCACCCAGGUCCUCCUUGAUAGCUUCUGGGUCACCAUCUUCUUCCCUUGACACCUCCCGAUUUCCUUCUCGUAUCGUUAACCACCACACGUUGAUGCUAUACCCAGCUCCCCAGCAGCGGCCUGGGGAUUCCUCACUUCCAGUGACCUUUGCUUCCAUCUCACCUGGUCCUCCAGCCCCAGGGUCACUGCCUCAGCUUGGAUCCUGACAGUACUAGUCAUGACACUUUCUCCCAAAGCUCCGGGCUACCACUGACUUACUCUAGAACCCUGACUCAGCCAUGAUCACCUUCAGAACCUCUGGCCCAUCCCCUCCCCACCUUCUCACUCCUGACCCUUGCUGGGCUCACCCAAUCCACCCAAUCCGAAAGGCUCUACCCUUUAGGACAUCCCAUGUUCCCCAUGUCCCCCACCUUGGUGGGGGCUCCUGUCCUAGCACCACCUUCCAUUGACUCACCCCCAUAUCUACACAACAGCCUAGAUGGGCUCUCUGUGGCCACCUCUGUUAUCAGUGAUCAUUUCAACAGAGACCAAACACCCCUCCCUGCUCAGAACCCUCCCAGAGCUUCCAUCUCACUCAGAAUAAAAGCUGAACAGGCCCCAGCCUCUGAGCCUGCCUCUUUCACCUCAGAUCCACUCCUCCAUGGCUCAGUCCAGUCCCACUGGCCUUCUUGCUUUUUCUCAAAGACGCCAGAGGGCUUUUCAUGUGCCAUCUCCUAGUUCCAAAACACUCCCACCCCAGACCUCCAUCUGACCCAUCCCCUUACUCUGUUCCCACUCCCCCUCCCCAGAGAGACCUUUCCAUACCCCUGUAUUUAACAUAACAUCCACUUUUGCCUCUUGCUGCCACCUUACCCUGCUGUCCUUUUCUCCAUAAAACUCCACAGUGGGUAAAAUUAUGUUUCAUAGUUUGUAUUUUACUGUCCGUCUCCCCACGAGAUCAUAAAGUCCAUGUGAACAAGGACUUCAUCUUGUUCACUGCUCUACCCCCAGUUUAGAAGAAACAGCUAAGGUCUAGAAUCAACUAGAAUACAGUAUACAGUCAAUCCUUAUUUGUGGAAUGGCUAAAUCAUUCCUCGUUGAUCGAUCAAUUCAUGGACCACGUGGUUGUGCUAAUAAGAGAAUCUGAUAAAGGAAAAAGAGAGCCCUCUUGAAAAAGCAUUCACAGUCAAAGCAGAUAUCCCUUCCCCAAAGCAUUUAUAAAGAUGGGCUGGGUCUUGUGGGAGAGUGGACCGAGAGAGACCUGUCAGAAACAAAGAGUAGACUCUGCUCAACGAACUCUCCGUGUGCCCUGGAACGACGCGAUGCCAACACGUCUCCCCUGACGUUGGCACUGUUUCCAGAAAGCCUUCCUGGGCAAGAUUUGACACUCAAAAAGAGUGAUCCCUGGAGCAAAUGCAAUAAGAAUGACCAGUUAGGUACCACACAAUAUCACUGCCGCGUCCUCACGUUGGCACGGCCUCCAGGGAGUCACCCUACAAAAGGAUGGGGUUUCGUACGAUGGAAAGAGAAACCGGUGGCAGAUGUUCUGUGUGAGUGGGAUCCUCACUGGUCAACUUUCCAUGAUGGUUUGGUGCCGAUACCAGCACCCCUUCUGGAAUACCACAGCCCUCCUCGGCGGCCACCUUCCGCAGAGAUUAGAUUCUGCUCAUGGUGCAACGAGUGACAUGCAUCUUAAAGGAAGCAUGUGCACUGUGAUCCACCAUCCACAUACGUACCUUGUGCAGGUACAAAAGCCAAGAGCUCUUCCCCAGAGGCGGAACGCUGUCCAGGCAGCCCUCCAAAGCAGUAUUUGAUACUGAAAA